This 1181-nucleotide ribosomal RNA is filed under the name uncultured bacterium. RNAcentral describes it as "bacterial SSU rRNA". It matches the Rfam family "Bacterial small subunit ribosomal RNA", at positions 52 to 1250 of the family's 1533-position model. The record is from RNAcentral.
CACAUGCAAGUCGAGGGGUAACAGAGAGAAGCUUGCUUUUCUGCUGACGACCGGCGCACGGGUGAGUAACGCGUAUACAAUCUGCCUUAUACAGAGGGAUAGCCUUUAGAAAUGAAGAUUAAUACCUUAUAGUCUAUUUUUAUAGCAUUAUAUAAAUAGUAAAGCUUCGGUGGUAUAAGAUGAGUAUGCGUCCUAUUAGUUAGUUGGUAAGGUAACGGCUUACCAAGACAACGAUAGGUAGGGGCCCUGAGAGGGGGAUCCCCCACACUGGUACUGAGACACGGACCAGACUCCUACGGGAGGCAGCAGUGAGGAAUAUUGGACAAUGGAGGCAACUCUGAUCCAGCCAUGCCGCGUGCAGGAAGACGGCCCUAUGGGUUGUAAACUGCUUUUAUAUAGGAAGAAACCUUUUCACGUGUGAGAAGCUGACGGUACUAUAAGAAUAAGGACCGGCUAACUCCGUGCCAGCAGCCGCGGUAAUACGGAGGGUCCGAGCGUUAUCCGGAAUCAUUGGGUUUAAAGGGUCCGUAGGCGGGAAUCUAAGUCAGUGGUGAAAUCUUGCAGCUCAACUGUAAAAUUGCCAUUGAUACUGGAUUUCUUGAAUUAGUGUGAAGUGAUUAGAAUGUGUAGUGUAGCGGUGAAAUGCAUAGAUAUUACACAGAAUACCAAUUGCGAAGGCAGAUCACUAACACUAUAUUGACGCUGAGGGACGAAAGCGUGGGGAGCGAACAGGAUUAGAUACCCUGGUAGUCCACGCCGUAAACGAUGGAUACUAGCUGUUCGAUCUUCGGAUUGAGUGGCUAAGCGAAAGUGAUAAGUAUCCCACCUGGGGAGUACGUUCGCAAGAAUGAAACUCAAAGGAAUUGACGGGGGCCCGCACAAGCGGUGGAGCAUGUGUUUAUUCGAUGAUACGCGAGGAACCUUACCAGGGCUUAAUGUAGUCUGACAGCUUAGAGAUAGAGUUUCUUCGGACAGAUUACAGUGCUGCAUGAUUGUCGUCAGCUCGUGCCGUGAGUGUCAGUUAAGUCCUAUACGAGCGCACCCCUGUUGUAGUUGCCAGCGAGUAAUGUCGGAACUCUAACAAGACUGCCGGUGCAAACGCGAGAAGUGGAUGACGUCAAUCAUCUCGGGCCUUACUUCUCUGGGCACACAGGCUACAUAUGCGCUCCCAAAAAAGACAC